UAACGUCAGAUAACAAAGGCAAAAUUAAUGAAGUCUUAGAGGGAUUGACUGGUCUUCUCCAGUCACCUGUAAGAAGAGCUGAGAAGCAUGGUCUCCCCGGUGUCCUCUCAGGAGUUGCUUUAGGAAUUACAGGACUAGUAGCAAAACCUGCUGCUAGUAUACUCGAAGUUACCAGAAAAACUACACUCAGUAUUCGAAACC
Molecule: non-coding RNA, 201 nt
Organism: Arachis ipaensis
Lineage: Eukaryota; Viridiplantae; Streptophyta; Magnoliopsida; Fabales; Fabaceae
Source: RefSeq, a predicted model, not a curated record